AAUAAAUUAUUACUACCAACUAAUACAAAUUAGUUUCUAGAGAAAAAAAAUAAUCUUGAAAUUGUACGUUUACCAAUACCAUCCAAAGGUAACAUUGAGAUUUUUGUGAAAGGAUCCUUUGCGGGAAGCUUCGCAGAAAGAUCAAAGAUUUUCAUGACCCCAUAACUUCCUCAAACCUCUAACAGCUUCGAAUUUCAAACCCCAUCAAUCUGCUAGAUGCCUGCUUCACUGAAAAGAUGGCAAAACAAGUUGUACAUUGAACAAGCUGAUCACCAUUUCCUGUGGAGACAUUAUAAGUGCUGUUGGACUAGAAAAUGAUUUUGUUUUGGGAGAAUUGGUACUGGUUUUGUUUUCUGUAGAACUAAUGUGACUGUUUGGAUUUAGUGUUUAAUAAGCUUUGGGUUUGCUUUUGGGAGAA
This is a long non-coding RNA of Solanum tuberosum (potato), 418 nucleotides long. RefSeq lists it as uncharacterized. The record is from RefSeq and is a predicted model, not a curated record. NCBI's taxonomy places the organism in Eukaryota, Viridiplantae, Streptophyta, Magnoliopsida, Solanales, Solanaceae. The transcript has 2 exons.